Molecule: ribosomal RNA, 450 nt
Filed under: uncultured bacterium
Lineage: Bacteria
Description: partial 16S ribosomal RNA
Rfam family: Bacterial small subunit ribosomal RNA
Source: RNAcentral
GUGGGGAAUUUUGGACAAUGGGCGCAAGCCUGAUCCAGCAAUGCCGCGUGCAGGAAGAAGGCCUUCGGGUUGUAAACUGCUUUUGUACGGAACGAAACGGUCCUGGCUAAUAUCCGGGGCUAAUGACGGUACCGUAAGAAUAAGCACCGGCUAACUACGUGCCAGCAGCCGCGGUAAUACGUAGGGUGCGAGCGUUAAUCGGAAUUACUGGGCGUAAAGCGUGCGCAGGCGGUGCUGUAAGACAGGCGUGAAAUCCCCGGGCGCAACCUGGGAAUUGCGCUUGUGACUGCAGUGCUGGAGUGCGGCAGAGGGGGAUGGAAUUCCGCGUGUAGCAGUGAAAUGCGUAGAUAUGCGGAGGAACACCGAUGGCGAAGGCAAUCCCCUGGGCCUGCACUGACGCUCAUGCACGAAAGCGUGGGGAGCAAACAGGAUUAGAAACCCCGGUAGUCC